CAUAUUGUUGCAGUUAAAACGCCCCGUAGUCUGAAUUGGCCAGCAAUGGUCGUACGUAUUUUUACGUUCACUGUGAACAAAUCAGGACGCUUAGAGUAUGGCCACAUGAAUGACUCAGCGCAGUAUGAAGUCUUUGUUUUCUUCCGAAAACAAGCUCAAUGAGAGCCAUCGGGGGUAGAUCUAUCUCAUGACGAGUGGUGGAAUACUUUGACUCAUGAGAGAGAAGCUGAGGCGAAGGCGUCUACCUAGAGGGUUUCUGUCGAUCAAGGGCGAGAGUAGGAGUAUCCAACAGGAUUAGAGACCCUGGUAGUUCCUACCUUAAACGAUGCCGACAGGAGUUUGUCAUUUGUUAAUGGCAGAAUCUUUGGAGAAAUCAUAGUUCUUGGGCUCUGGGGGAACUACGACCGCAAGGCUGAAACUUGAAGGAAUUGACGGAAGGGCACACCAGGGGUGGAGCCUGUGGCUUAAUUUGAAUCAACACGGGGAAACUUACCAGGACCAGAUGUUUUUUAUGACUGACAGGCUUCGGGUCUUUCAGGAUAUUGUUUUUGGUGGUGCAUGGCCGUUGGUGGUGCGUGGGUUGACCUGUCUAGCGUUGAUUCAGCUAACGAGCGAGAUUAUCGCCAAUUAUUUACUUUGCCGAAGUCCUUCGGUUAAAGUUCUAAUUGGGACUCCCUGCGAUUUUAGCAGGUGGAAGAGGGUAGCAAUAACAGGUCCGUGAUGCCCUUUAGAUGCUCUGGGCUGCACGCGUGCUACAAUGUUAGGAUCAAUAGGACUGCGAGCCUGAGAGGGUGCGCUACUCUUAUAAUCCCUAACGUAGUUGGGAUUGACGUUUGUAAUCAGCGUCAUGAACCAGGAAUCCCUUGUAAAUGUGUGUCAACAACGCACGUUGAAUACGUCCCUGCCCUUUGUACACACCGCCCGUCGCUCCUACCGAUUGGAUGACUC
Molecule: non-coding RNA, 948 nt
Filed under: Trichomonas vaginalis G3
Lineage: Eukaryota; Parabasalia; Trichomonadida; Trichomonadidae
Description: Eukaryotic small subunit ribosomal RNA
Rfam family: Eukaryotic small subunit ribosomal RNA
Source: Rfam by way of RNAcentral